Molecule: long non-coding RNA, 1113 nt
Filed under: Rhinopithecus bieti (black snub-nosed monkey)
Lineage: Eukaryota; Metazoa; Chordata; Mammalia; Primates; Cercopithecidae
Description: lncRNA (ENSRBIG00000046582.1)
Source: RNAcentral
CUGGGAAACACAUGUCUGCUGCAGCUUCCUCCCAGUGACUUACAGCAGCUGCAGAUUUCUCGGGGGCCUUCUAUGGGGCCCACCGCAGCAGGGAGCCGAGAACUCUUACAGAGCCCUGUGUUCUCUCUCUACCCGCUUCAGCUCUGACCUCAUACUAGCUGGUCUGAUGUAAGAACAGGCCAUGGUGAGGGAGUUGGGGUUCUGGUCAGUAAGCCAGGCCUUCAGGAAUCAGGUGAUGUCGAUCUGGAGAGGGGGUGCCUGCUGGAGGGACUUGGGGAAGCAAGCCUGGCCCAGAGCCCUGGCCUCUUGCUGGAGCAUCCCCCUCUUCCUUUCCAGAGCCCCCUGAGAAUCCGAAGGCAUCCAGGGUAGAGUGCAGUGUUCAGCUGUGUCCUGGGGUCCAGGAAAGCCAAGGAGAAGUUGCUCCACCUGCUGUCCACCAGGCACCCCAGCAGAGAACAGCCUCAGCUCACCCCAGCCCAACACCAGAUCCCAGGGACUGACCCACCUAGACCAGCUUCUUCCCUGGGCCAGGGCUGCUCUGGAGGCAGGGAGGUUGUGACCAGGCCAUGGGGUGUAGCAGAGCACCAGGUAUAGACCAGGCUCUCCAGGCACACCUGGGCAGAGAAAUCAGAGACCCACAGCCCCAGGUUUCUUUUCCUAACUGCAAGAAGAUCAUUGAAAUUUUCUCUGUCUCAAGCUCCUGGGCUCAAGUGAUCCUCCUUCAUCUGCCUCCUGAGUAGCUGGCAUUCCAGAUAUGCACCACUGGACAGAUACACACAUAUAUAACGAUACUUAUAGACACACAAACAUCCACCUAGAUACACAAACACACAGAGACAUACACAUAUCCACACAUACUCAUUAGAUAUACAUUUACACACACAAACACACAUGUGCACACACACACAUACGCACACCUUGUUUCCAUCUUCCUCUCAGGACUCGGGGCUCUCAAAGAGUGAAAGAGUCUUGUACCAUGAGUCCAGGAUCUACUGUGCAACCUUGCCCAAGCGUCUUCCCUCUUGAGAUCUUGUUUAUGAUAAUAAACAUCCUUACCCACCAAUUAGGGUUAUUUUGAAGAUAAAACAGAAAGGAUAACAGAGUGAUGGCAUG